This 71-nucleotide transfer RNA is filed under the name Camelus bactrianus (Bactrian camel). It matches the Rfam family "tRNA". From Rfam's summary of the family: Transfer RNA (tRNA) molecules are approximately 80 nucleotides in length. Their secondary structure includes four short double-helical elements and three loops (D, anti-codon, and T loops). The record is from Rfam by way of RNAcentral. RNAcentral also lists the same sequence under 1 other name. Lineage: Eukaryota; Metazoa; Chordata; Mammalia; Artiodactyla; Camelidae.
GAGGGUAUAGCUCAGUGGUAAAAUGUGUGCUUAGCAUGCAUGAAGUCCUGGGUUCAAUUCCUGGUACCUCA